AACAUUAGAAAUUAAGAGCUUAGAAAGGAAUUUUAACAUUAGAAGUUCAGUAUUAGGAGAGCUGAAAAUAUAGAACUAGAUUCUAGAGAUCAAAAUUUCAGAACAAAAGAAAGAGUCAGUCUUUGAGACCUAAAAAACUGAAAGUGAAGCUUUUUUUCUUUACUGCUUCUUUCAGAUUGAUUUUCCUGGUUGUUCUGUUUAGUUGUAAGUACUGUUGCAUUGGUUUGUUGCUCAAAUUCUAUUGGGUUAUGUUAAAGAUCGGACUGUUUUUUGCUACUGGGUUGUCAUUGGUUUUGUUGCUACUAUUUGAUGUGAUACUCUGCUACUGCUGUUGCUGAAUUUUUGCCACUGCUUUACUGCUGCUGAUCCUCAUCUCUCCUUGUUUGAAAUUCAAAUUCCAGGUACACACAGUUGAUGUACUGAUUCAAUGUAGUUGAGACUCGAAGCAUGAAUAAGAAUGAAGCCUUAAAGCCUUGAAAUUGUUUAGUUGCAUUUCGCAUCUUAAGUUAGGUAUAUACAGUAGCUAGCUUCAUCUGUCAAAGAAAUGUAGUAGUUUGAUAUGUACAAAUGAUACCUAAUGC
This 581-nucleotide long non-coding RNA is filed under the name Nicotiana benthamiana. RNAcentral's name for it is "long non-coding RNA (NBEN_LNC027133)". Lineage: Eukaryota; Viridiplantae; Streptophyta; Magnoliopsida; Solanales; Solanaceae. The record is from RNAcentral.